RNAcentral lists this ribosomal RNA (2703 nucleotides) under Triticum aestivum (bread wheat). RNAcentral describes it as "partial small subunit ribosomal RNA". Lineage: Eukaryota; Viridiplantae; Streptophyta; Magnoliopsida; Poales; Poaceae. The record is from RNAcentral.
AUGGUUUCGCCGGCGACCAGCGGUGGCCGUGGCGGCAAUGCGGGCCUCGCCGACCCGCUGCUUGCGACGAACGACGACAGCGACGGAGCACGGCAUGUGUUCGGCGCCAAGGCGAAGUACUGGGCUCCCGCCGACGAGAAGGAGAUGACGGCGUCACGGGAGUGCAGCGGCGAGGACGGCCGGCCGCUGUUGUACCGCACGUUUAAAGUCAAGGGCUUCCUUGUGAACACCUACAGGUUCUUGAACUUGGCCAGACUUACGGCGGUCAUCGUGUUUUUCGCAUGGCGUGUGCAGCACCCAGAUUCCGACGCAAUGUGGCUGUGGUGGAUCUCGGUCGUCGGAGAUUUCUGGUUCGGCCUGAGCUGGUGGCUAAACCAGGUCCCGAAGCUCAACCCCACCAUAUGCAUCCCCACGAUCCCCCUCCUGAGACAGCAGUUCGACCUGCCCGACGGCGGCUCCAACCUGCCCGUCCUGGACGUGUUCAUCAGCACCGUCGACCCUGUGGAGGAGCCCAUGCUCCACACCAUGAACUCCAUCCUCUCCAUCCUCGCCACCGACUACCCGGUCGACAAGUACGCCACGUACCUCUCGGACGACGGCGGAUCGCUGCUCCACUACGACGGGCUGGUCGAGACCGCCAAGUUCGCCGCCCUGUGGGUUCCGUUCUGCCGGAAGCAUCACGUUGAACCAAGGGCGCCGGAGAGCUACUUCGGGAUGAAGAUCCGCCCGUACACGGGGAAUCUGCCCGAAGAGUUCCUCGAUGACCAUAGGCGUUUGCGGAGGGAGUACGAGGAGUUCAAGACGCGCCUGGACGCACUGUUCACUGUCAUCCCGCAACGGUCAGAGGCGCACGGCCGUGAAGACGCCAAAGGAGGAGGAGGGAAGGCGACUUGGAUGGCGGACGGGACACAGUGGCCUGGCACAUGGACUGAGCCGGCUGAAGGUCACCGGAAAGGAGAUCACGCUGGAAUUAUUCAGGUACAAAUUCGAAUGGGGAAACAAACCAAAUAUGGUGAUUUCGUCGCCGCUGACAUGAUUGUUCAACAGGUUAUGCUGUCCCAGCCAAGCAGCGAGCCUCAGCUCGGCGAGCCAGCAAGCUCCGACGACGGUCCGCUGGAUUUCAGCGCCGUCGACGUGCGGCUGCCGAUGCUGGUGUACGUGUCCCGGGAGAAGCGCCCGGGCUAUGACCACCAGAAGAAGGCAGGCGCGCUGAACGUGCAGCUGCGCGUCUCCGCUCUGCUCUCCAACGCGCCCUUCAUCAUCAACUUCGACUGCGACCACUACAUCAACAACUCCCAGGCCUUCCGCGCCGCCAUGUGCUUCAUGAUGGACCGGCGCGACGGCGACAACGUCGCCUUCGUCCAGUUCCCGCAGCGCUUCGACGACGUCGACCCCACGGACCGGUACGCCAACCACAACCGCAUGUUCUUCGACGCCACCAUGCUUGGCAUGAACGGCAUCCAGGGGCCCUCCUACGUCGGCACCGGCAGCAUGUUCCGCCGCGUCGCGCUCUACGGCGCCGACCCGCCUCGGUGGCGCCCGGACGACGUCAAGGUGCUGGAGAACCCCAACAAAUUCGGCAAGUCGAUGACGUUCAUCAACUCCAUACCGGUGGCCGCGAACCAGGAACGGUCCGUCAUGUCGCCGGUGUCGCUUGACGAGCCGGCAACGACGGAGCUGGCCGACGUCAUGACGUGCGCGUACGAGGACGGGACGGAGUGGGGCGAUGGCGUCGGGUGGGUGUACGACAUGGCGACGGAGGACGCGGUGACCGGCUUCCGGCUGCAUCGGACGGGGUGGCGGUCCAUGUACUGCGACAUGGAGCCCCCCGCGUUCUGCGGCACGGCCCCGAUCAACAUGACGGAGCGCAUGUACCAGAUCCUGCGCUGGUCGGGGGGCUCCUUGGAGGUGUUCUUCUCCCGUUUCUGCCCGCUCCUCGCCGGCCGUCGGCUCCACCCCAUGCAGCGCGUCGCCUACACCAACAUGACGUUCUACCCGCUCUCGGCGCUCUUCGUCGUCUGCUACCACCUCUUGCCGCUGAUGUGGGUCUUCAACGGCCGGUUCUACAUCCAGAAGCCCUACCCGACGUACGUGAUGUACGUCCUCAUCAUCAUCAUCUCCAACGAGGUGAUCGGCAUGGUGGAGAUCGUGUGGGCGGGGCUCACGUUGCUCGACUGGUUCCGCAACGAGCAGUUCUACAUGAUCUGCGCGACGGGCGUGUACCCGACGGCGGUGCUGCACGUCGUGCUCAGGUCCCUCGGCCUGAAAGGCAUAUCCUUCAAGAUGACGGCGAAGCAGCUGGCCACCGGCGCGAGGGAGAGGUUCGCCGAGCUGUACGACGUGCAGUGGGCGCCGUUGCUGAUACCCACACUGGUGGUGAUCGCCGUGAACGUGGUUGCCAUCGGCGCGGCGGUGGGGAAGGCGAUCACCUGGGGCUGGUCGGCCGGGCAGGUCGUCGAGGCGGCCAGCGGGCUCAUGUUCAACGUGUGGAUCCUGCUCAUGUUCUACCCGUUCGCGCUCGGGGUUAUUGGGCGCUGGGGCAAGAAGCCCUAUGUCCUCUUCGCCAUGUUUGUGGCCGCGUUCGCUGCCAUUGCGGCGGUGUAUGUCGCCGUCCAGGCGGCGCUCGCUGGCAACCUGCCGUACUUCCAGCUGGGACACUGGUCGAUCGGCGGUGCCGUUUCUCUGCCAAGCCGGCGGGUUUAG